CUGCUGCCUUCCGUAGGAGUUUGGGCCGUGUCUCAGUCCCAAUGUGGCCGGUCACCCUCUCAGGUCGGCUACUGAUCGUUGCCUUGGUGAGCCGUUACCUCUCCAACUAGCUAAUCAGACGCAGGUCCAUCUCAUACCACCUCAGUUUUUCACACCAAACCAUGCGGUUUUGUGCGCUUAUGCGGUAUUAGCAGUCAUUUCUAACUGUUAUCCCCCUGUAUGAGGCAGGUUACCCACGCGUUACUCACCCG
RNAcentral lists this ribosomal RNA (251 nucleotides) under uncultured bacterium. RNAcentral's name for it is "partial 16S ribosomal RNA". The record is from RNAcentral.